GCCUCGGUGGCUCAGUCGGUAGAGCGCCAGACUUGUAAUCUGGUGGUCGGGGGUUCAAUUCCCCCUCGGGGCU
Non-coding RNA from Methanobrevibacter sp. 87.7, 73 nucleotides. The record is from Rfam. Lineage: Archaea; Methanobacteriati; Methanobacteriota; Methanobacteria; Methanobacteriales; Methanobacteriaceae.